This is a long non-coding RNA of Callithrix jacchus (white-tufted-ear marmoset), 843 nucleotides long. NCBI's taxonomy places the organism in Eukaryota, Metazoa, Chordata, Mammalia, Primates, Cebidae. The record is from Ensembl.
CUUUAGUUAGAGCUUGUAUCCUGCCUAGCGCUAACCAAUUGCUCACACUCAUUACUGUUACUUGAAGACUCAGCCCCAGCCUGUGCAAAAUGAAUUGGCUCAUGGCCAGCUCUUCCAUGCUUGGGGAAGCAGAGGGUUUCAUGCUGGGCCCCCAAGGGAGAUCCAGGCCCUCUGCAUUCAGACUCUACCACAGCCAAGCCUGUGGGAGAAGUAUGAGACCGGACUUGCCCAGAAAACCAGCCUGUGUCAAAUUCUGAGUCACACCCAGAGAAGGGCUCUCCCUCCACCCGGGUGUGAGGCAACGCUGAGCCCUGCUGCAUUAAGGGGUCCAGCUUUUCUUUGGAGCCAAGACCAGCCCGUUAAGGGACUGCUUCUUCAAGACUUCAAGAUCUACUCAUCUCCUGGCACCUUCAUUAUUGAAUAGAAGCUAGCAGGAAUAGUGAAGCCUCUUCAGAAGUAGAAUGGAUUCUAAUGGAGGAAUGGAGACCACCAUAAGCUCAACCAAGUGGCUGCCCUGAUGACAACUGCAGAUCCAUGUGCACUGUUAUUGUUGGAAUGAAAUCCUACAGCAUCAGACACGUGGCAUGCAACAUGAAAUUGGAGAAUAUGCUCUUGCCUCUUCUGAUCAGAACACAAGUCUUAAUUGAAGUUGUAUGAAAGCACAAUAUUGAGUAACAUUUUUGCCCCAGGAUUGUUUAUUGUUUUCUGUGAUUAUGAAUAAAGCUGCUGUACACAUAUGUAUGCAGGUCUUUCAUGAACCUAAGUUUUUAGAAUCAUUUGUUUAAAUAUCUAGGUGCACUCUUGAUGGAUUAUAAGGUAAGACUAUGUUUAGCUUUGUAAAUG